RNAcentral lists this small RNA (2581 nucleotides) under Pongo abelii (Sumatran orangutan). Its description in RNAcentral is "retained intron". Lineage: Eukaryota; Metazoa; Chordata; Mammalia; Primates; Hominidae. The record is from RNAcentral.
UGCUCACCUCAGCCCUCCAAAAUUUGAUAAGUUUUGAUAUGUGUUACAUCCAUGAAAUCAUCACCACAAUCAUGAUAAUGUAUCUUGAAUUCUCCGUAUUUAUUUAUUUUUAUUUUUUGAGGUGGAGUCUUGUUCUGUCCCCAGGCUGGAGUGCAGUGGUGCGAUCUUGGCUCACUGCAGCCUCCGCCUCCCGAAUUUAAGCUAUUCUCCUGCCUCAGCCUCCAAGUAGAUCGGAUUACAAGCAUGCAUCACCAUACCUGGAUAAUUUUGUAUUCUUAGUAGAGACAGGGUUUCGCCAUGUUGGCCAGGCUGGUCUUGAACUCCUGACCUCAAGUGAUGCACCUGGCCCCUCAAAGUGCUGGGAUUACAGGCAUGAGCCACUGCGCCUGGCCAAAUUAUCAGUAUUUAAAUUUAAAUAAAAUUUAAAAAUUCAUUCCUCAGCUGUACUGGCUGGGCAGCCACACGCGGCCAGUGGCUACUGGAUGGGACAACACAUUCAAAACCAUUAUCCUGUUUUAUCUUCAAAGGAUUUACCACUGUCUGACUAGCUUCUCCAACGUUGCGCCCUUCUUGCUCUCAUAUCAUGUCUCUUAUUUUCUUCUUAUUCCUUCUGAUUGGAAAUGAUCUCAUUUGUGUGUGUGUUUUUCGCUGGUGACUGGUUGUCUUCCCUGGCAGAAUAUGCGCCCACCCAAGCUGGUGCUUCACCGGUCGUGUUGACAGUGUGUCUCCAGGGGCAGGUUCAUAAGGGCACUAGUAGGAGGUUGUGAAUGAAGGGAUGUGAUGUUCACACUAAGACCUGAAAGAUGUGUCCAGUUAAUAAGUGGACAGGGAGAAAGGUUGUUAGACAAAGAGGAGUAGGUGGCAUCAGUUACUGGGGAGGAAAUGUUGAUUCAGGACUGAGAGGCAAAGGGACCUGGCUAGAGGAUGGGGUCCCAGAAGUUGGUUUAAGGACUGGUGUGGACACACACAGUUCUGUUGUCUGCCCAGCGGAGGGGCCUCACGGGGGGCUGUUGGGAGCCAGAUUGUCAGCUUUUGGAUUUACCAGCUGUGGGUGGCAGUAGGCAUGUAACUCAGCAUCUUGCUGCCUCUGUUUCUCUCAUCUGUAAAGUGGGGAUAAUAACAUUUACCUCAUAAAGUUCCUGUGAGGAUUCGAUGAUUUGACACAUCAGUUGCUUAGCACAGGGCCCAGCACUCAGUACAUGUUCACUGUCAGGAAGGCAGGGAGGCCUCACUGGCAGCAUCAGGACAUAGGACAUCAGGACAUACACCGUGGCUCUCAGGGAAAGGAAAGAGACCCUCUCCCAGGUGUACAAGGUCGAUUCUAAACCUCAGGGGACCCUGCAUUGUUCGCUCCCUCAUUCAUUCACUUGUCCAUGCGUGUACUCAGUAGUGGCAUAAGCGGACUGCUCAGGUCGGACCUGAAUUAGCCUCACCCACUCUCCUCCUACACUGUCCCUCCCCAGGGCACAUUUGCCUCCCAGGUGACACUGGAGGGGGACAAGUUGAAAGUGGAGCGGGAGAUCGAGGGAGGCCGGGAGACCCUGCGCCUGAAGCUGCCAGCUGUGGUGACAGCUGACCUGAGGCUCAACGAGCCCCGCUACGCCACGCUGCCCAACAUCAUGGUGAGCCCCUGGCCAGUGGGCACUGAGGGCCUGGGGGUGGCAAGCACAUUGCCAGCCCAGUGCCCCCCGGUGUCGCACGUGGGGAGGGAAGGAUACAAAGGAGGUCUCAUGCACAGGAAGCCGUCACCUGGAGUUUGGCUGAUAGAGAGAGUUUGCUGGGUCAUCUCUGCCAAUACUGAGAGUUCAUGGGGGCUGCUUUGACUAGCAGGGAGGGCUUGCUGGUAUCUAGGCCAGUAGAAAGGCUUUGCUGGGCAGCAGAAAGUGUUCCCUUUGUCAUUCCAGCCAGUGGAACAAGUUCACUGGGUCAUCUAGGUUCAUUAGGGAAGGUCUCCUUGGUAAUUUUGCCAAUGUGAAGUUACCGUGUAGAUAUCUUAGUUAACUAGGAAGGGUGCAUGAGGUCUCUUGGCUAACAGGUAGAGUUCACUAAUCAUCAUGGCCAGUAGGAUGGGUUCGCUGGGUCAUCUUGGCCAAUAUUAACAGUUUAGUGGGUCAUCUCCGCCAAUGGAGAAUAUUCAUCUCAGCCAACAGAGAGGUUCAUUGGAUCAUCUCAACUAAUGGGAGGGUUCAAUGAGUCAUUUCAGCCAUUACAGAGUGUUCACUACAUCAUCUCAGCCUAUAGGGAGAGUUCAGCGCAUUAUCUCAGCCUAUAGGGAGGGUUCAGCGUGUCAUCUCAGCCUAUAGGGAGAGUUCAGCGUGUCAUCUCAGCCUAUAGGGAGGGUUCAGCGCAUCAUCUCAGCCUAUAGGGAGGGUUCAGCAUGUCAUCUCAGCCUAUAGGGAGGGUUCGGCGCGUCAUCUCAGCCUGUAGGAGGGUUCGGCACAUCAUCUCAGCCUAUAGGGAGGGUUCGGUGUGUCAUCUCAGCCUAUGGGGAGGGUUCGGUGCAUCAUCUCAGUCUAUAGGGAGGGUUCAGUGCAUCAUCUCAGCCUACUGGGAGCCUUCAGCAUGCCAUCUCAACCAAAAG